UUUUCCUACGGGACGCAGCAGUGGGGAAUAUUGCACAAUGGGGGAAACCCUGAUGCAGCAACGCCGCGUGGGUGAAGGAGCGUUUCGGCGCGUAAAGCCCUGUCAGCGGGGAAGAAGAAAGACGGUACCCGACCAAGAAGCCCCGGCUAACUACGUGCCAGCAGCCGCGGUAAUACGUAGGGGGCAAGCGUUAUCCGGAUUUACUGGGUGUAAAGGGAGCGUAGACGGCGAUGCAAGUCUGAAGUGAAAGGCGGGGGCCCAACCCCCGGACUGCUUUGGAAACUGUAUGGCUGGAGUGCAGGAGG
This 305-nucleotide ribosomal RNA is filed under the name uncultured bacterium. Its description in RNAcentral is "bacterial SSU rRNA". It matches the Rfam family "Bacterial small subunit ribosomal RNA", at positions 334 to 655 of the family's 1533-position model. The record is from RNAcentral.